GCCCUUCAACCUCUGCUACUUCAUCCUCCAGUUUCCAGUCUGUGCACCGAGCCUGUAGCCCCGGUUUGAGAGUGGCGAAAUACACAAAGAGGGACGUGGAGAUGGACGGCUAUCGCAUUAUCCAAGAGGGAGUCGCUAUCGCUUGCUGGAACACUUGUCCAUCCUUAAGCAGUGUGAAAUGGUGAUGACAACACUACCUCACGAGU
Molecule: long non-coding RNA, 206 nt
Organism: Diceros bicornis minor
Lineage: Eukaryota; Metazoa; Chordata; Mammalia; Perissodactyla; Rhinocerotidae
Exons: 3
Source: RefSeq, a predicted model, not a curated record